Molecule: microRNA precursor, 89 nt
Filed under: Capitella teleta
Lineage: Eukaryota; Metazoa; Annelida; Polychaeta; Capitellidae
Description: microRNA cte-mir-2704 precursor
Source: miRBase by way of RNAcentral
AACGAAGUCCAUUUUAACAUGCAAAAUUGACCCGGGUUUUAGUUGAAGAUUGAACCCGAGCCAUUUCUGCUUGUUCUGAUGGCCUCACU